Molecule: ribosomal RNA, 467 nt
Filed under: uncultured bacterium
Lineage: Bacteria
Description: partial 16S ribosomal RNA
Rfam family: Bacterial small subunit ribosomal RNA
Source: RNAcentral
GACGAACGCUGGCGGCGUGCUUAACACAUGCAAGUCGAACGGAAAGGCCCUGCUUUUGUGGGGUGCUUGAGUGGCGAACGGGUGAGUAACACGUGAGUAACCUGCCCUUGACUUUGGGAUAACUUCAGGAAACUGGGGCUAAUACCGGAUAGGAGCUCCUGCUGCAUGGUGGGGGUUGGAAAGUUUCGGCGGUUGGGGAUGGACUCGCGGCUUAUCAGCUUGUUGGUGGGGUAGUGGCUUACCAAGGCUUUGACGGGUAGCCGGCCUGAGAGGGUGACCGGCCACAUUGGGACUGAGAUACGGCCCAGACUCCUACGGGAGGCAGCAGGGGGGAAUAUUGCACAAUGGGCGGAAGCCUGAUGCAGCAACGCCGCGUGCGGGAUGACGGCCUUCGGGUUGUAAACCGCUUUCGCCUGUGACGAAGCGUGAGUGACGGUAAUGGGUAAAGAAGCACCGGCUAACUACGU